RNAcentral lists this ribosomal RNA (497 nucleotides) under uncultured bacterium. RNAcentral describes it as "partial 16S ribosomal RNA". It matches the Rfam family "Bacterial small subunit ribosomal RNA", at positions 28 to 507 of the family's 1533-position model. The record is from RNAcentral.
GAUGAACGCUGGCGGCGUGCCUAAUACAUGCAAGUCGAGCGAACAGACGAGGAGCUUGCUCCUCUGACGUUAGCGGCGGACGGGUGAGUAACACGUGGAUAACCUACCUAUAAGACCGGGAUAACUUCGGGAAACCGGAGCUAAUACCGGAUAAUAUAUUGAACCGCAUGGUUCAAUAGUGAAAGACGGUUUUGCUGUCACUUAUAGAUGGAUCCGCGCCGCAUUAGCUAGUUGGUAAGGUAACGGCUUACCAAGGCGACGAUGCAUAGCCGACCUGAGAGGGUGAUCGGCAGCACUGAGACUGAGACACGGUCCAGACUCCGAAGGGAGGCAGCAGUAGGGAAUCUUGCGCAAUGGGCGAAAGCCUGACGGAGCAACGCAGAGUGAGUGAUGAAGGUCUUCGGAUCGGAAAACUCUGUUAUUAGGGAAGAACAUAUGUGUAAGUAACUGUGCACAUCUUGACGGUACCUAAGCAGAAAGCGACGGCUAACUACGUG